GACGAACGCUGGCGGCGUGCCUAAUACAUGCAAGUAGGACGCACAGCCUAUACCGUAGCUUGCUACACCAUAGGCUGUGAGUUGCGAACGGGUGAGUAACGCGUAGGUAACCUGCCUAUUAGAGGGGGAUAACUAUUGGAAACGAUAGCUAAUACCGCAUAACAGUAUGUAACACAUGUUAGAUGCUUGAAAGAUGCAAUUGCAUCGCUAGUAGAUGGACCUGCGUUGUAUUAGCUAGUAGGUAGGGUAAUGGCCUACCUAGGCAACGAUACAUAGCCGACCUGAGAGGGUGAUCGGCCACACUGGGACUGAGACACGGCCCAGACUCCUACGGGAGGCAGCAGUAGGGAAUCUUCGGCAAUGGGGGGAACCCUGACCGAGCAACGCCGCGUGAGUGAAGAAGGUUUUCGGAUCGUAAAGCUCUGUUGUUAAGGAAGAACGAGUGCGAGAAUGGAAAGUUCAUACUGUGACGGUACUUAACCAGAAAGGGACGGCUAACUACGUGCCAGCAGCCGCGGUAAUACGUAGGUCCCGAGCGUUGUCCGGAUUUAUUGGGCGUAAAGCGAGCGCAGGCGGUUAGAAAAGUCUGAAGUGAAAGGCAGUGGCUCAACCAUUGUAGGCUUUGGAAACUGUUUAACUUGAGUGCAGAAGGGGAGAGUGGAAUUCCAUGUGUAGCGGUGAAAUGCGUAGAUAUAUGGAGGAACACCGGUGGCGAAAGCGGCUCUCUGGUCUGUCACUGACGCUGAGGCUCGAAAGCGUGGGGAGCGAACAGG
RNAcentral lists this ribosomal RNA (773 nucleotides) under Streptococcus anginosus. RNAcentral describes it as "bacterial SSU rRNA". It matches the Rfam family "Bacterial small subunit ribosomal RNA", at positions 28 to 776 of the family's 1533-position model. Lineage: Bacteria; Bacillati; Bacillota; Bacilli; Lactobacillales; Streptococcaceae. The record is from RNAcentral.